UUCAGACUUGUGCUCUUUCGUCUCCCCAUUUGAUGUUGGCAGGAUCUCGCUCCUGGAAGAUGGAGAUGGGCUUUCCAUUGAUGACAGGUUUCCCGUUCUUAGCGCUGACUGUGCCUUGAAUUUGCUAUGGGUGGAAUCAUAGUGGAACGUGUAGACCUUCUCCGUUGUGUCUCGGGGGUGCACCGCUCACAGCACAGGAAGUGGCCAUGUGUCAAACAGGAGGGAGCAGAGAGCCAGAAUUUUUACAUCUUAAAAUGUCAUUUCAGGAAUCCUUGAAAGAAACAAGUUGGUUCAGUACAUAUCUUCCUCAGCUUACCGUGGGCUUAUGUCCUGAUAAGCCUGUCACAAGGUGAAAAUACUGUAAUUUGAAAAUGCAUUUAAUACACCUAACUUACUGAACACUGUGGCUUAGCCUGGCCUACCUUAAAUGUGCUCGCAAUGUUCAUUAUAUUAGCCUACGGUUGGGCAGAAUCACGAAACACAAAACCUAUUUUAUAAUAAAGCGUUGACUAGUCUGUGUAGUGUAUUGGAGACUGUGUUGAAAGUGACACGUGGAGCAGUCGUCUGGGUACAGAUGGUACUUGCCUUAUUGGCGAUUUACCCUCAUCCUGUGGCUCCUGGGCGCUGCCUUUCACUGCCGUUCACCACGAGAAAGCAUAGGACUGCAUGUUGCUUGCUAGCUUGAGAAAAGACGCGAAUUCAAAACUUGACGUAUGGUUUUUAUGGACCGCGUAUUGCUUUUGCACCGUUGUAAAGUUGAAAAUCUUAAGUCGAGGCCGUGUAAGUCAGGGACCGUCUGUAUUUGAAUAUCUGUGUCUGUUUUACUUUAGUAAGACUGACUUUCGUGGCUUCU
Molecule: long non-coding RNA, 853 nt
Organism: Leopardus geoffroyi (Geoffroy's cat)
Lineage: Eukaryota; Metazoa; Chordata; Mammalia; Carnivora; Felidae
Exons: 3
Source: RefSeq, a predicted model, not a curated record